Molecule: small nuclear RNA, 141 nt
Organism: Cebus imitator (Panamanian white-faced capuchin)
Lineage: Eukaryota; Metazoa; Chordata; Mammalia; Primates; Cebidae
Gene: U4
Rfam family: U4 spliceosomal RNA
About the family: U4 small nuclear RNA (U4 snRNA) is a component of the major U2-dependent spliceosome. The structure of U4 snRNA from yeast and human has been reported. U4 snRNA presents a k-turn RNA motif in the 5p-SL related to recognition of Snu13 protein.
Source: Ensembl
AGCUUUGUGCAGUGGCGGUAUCAUAGCCAAUGAGGUAUAUCCGAGGCACGAUUAUUGCUAAUUGAAAACUUUUCCCGGUACCCGACAAUGACAACUUGAAAUGUAGUUGGCAUUGGCAAUUUUUGACAGUCUCUAUGGAGA